AUGUGUCGAGUAUUUGGAGAAUCGCCCAAAAUGACAGAUGCCAAUGCAUUCUUCUCAAUGCUUGUGAGAUUUACCAAAGCAUUUAAGGCAGCUGACAUUGAAAACGAGCAGAGGAGACGACUUGAAGCUGCAGCCAAAGAAGUAGCUCUCAACAAUAACAACAGUGAAGAAGUAGCUCAGAAGAACAAACUAAAUCAAAAAAAAGCAACAGGUGCGUCAAAAGUAGUCGAGAAUUGUUAUUUCUCCUCUAAGCCUUUUUCCUCAAAGUUUGCGAUGAAUUUAUACACAUGUACCUUAGGCUGUACAGUUAAAUUUUCUUGCUAGUGUGGGCCAAAGUGUAUAAAAGUUGCAGUGAGUUCAUGAUUGAUGCUGUCAUCAGCGAGUUGAAGAGUAAGGCAAAACUCGUCCAAGAGAAGCGACUUUUGCAGCAAGAUGAGGUGUACAAUGGUGCUCUUGAGGAUAUUUUACUGGGUUUGCGAAGUGAGCCCUAUCGUCGUGCAGAUGCUGUACGUCGCAGUCAGAGAAGGCGAAUUGACAGCAAUCGGCUAUCGAGAAAUCUUGAGGACCUGGAAGUCUAGCUCUAAA
RNAcentral lists this long non-coding RNA (585 nucleotides) under Bemisia tabaci. RNAcentral's name for it is "lncRNA ENSSWEETPG000960". The record is from RNAcentral. Lineage: Eukaryota; Metazoa; Arthropoda; Insecta; Hemiptera; Aleyrodidae.